AAGAUAAAAUAUUAAUGUGAGCAAGUUGGAUAGAUGGUGGCUAAUCUUGUAUAAAUGGGGUGAUGCCUAUGAAAUAUGGUUUAACUCCUAGAAAGGUGUAAUAUUGACUGAUUAUGAAUUACUGAUGAUUGUCAUAUCAAUCAUUGGUUUAGUAUUAAUUAGUAA
This 165-nucleotide small RNA is filed under the name chicken gut metagenome. Its description in RNAcentral is "Listeria sRNA rli28". It matches the Rfam family "Listeria sRNA rli28". The record is from RNAcentral.